UUGGAGGGGUAUCCCUUUAGUGGCGCAGCUAACGCAAUAAGUUGACCGCCUGGGGAGUACGGUCGCAAGAUUAAAACUCAAAUGAAUUGACGGGGGCCCGCACAAGCGGUGGAGCAUGUGGUUUAAUUCGACGCAACGCGAAGAACCUUACCUGGUCUUGACAUCCUACGAACUUACUAGAAAUAGUUUGGUGCCUUCGGGAACGUAGUGACAGGUGCUGCAUGGCUGUCGUCAGCUCGUGUCGUGAGGUGUUGGGUUAAGUCCCGUAACGAGCGCAACCCUUGUCCUUAUUUGCCAUCAUUAAGUUGGGCACUCUAGGGAGACUGCCGGUGACAAACCGGAGGAAGGUGGGGACGACGUCAAGUCAUCAUGGCCCUUACGACCAGGGCUACACACGUGCUACAAUGGAGCGUACAAAGGGUUGCGACCUCGCGAGAGUGAGCUAAUCCCAUAAAACGUUUCGUAGUCCGGAUCGCAGUCUGCAACUCGACUGCGUGAAGUCGGAAUCGCUAGUAAUCGUGAAUCAGAACGUCACGGUGAAUACGUUCCCGGGCCUUGUACACACCGCCCGUCACACCAUGGGAGUGGGUUGCAAAAGAAGUGGGUAGCAUAACCUUCGGGAGUGCGCUCACCACUUUGUGAUUCAUGACUGGGGUG
RNAcentral lists this ribosomal RNA (657 nucleotides) under uncultured marine bacterium. Its description in RNAcentral is "bacterial SSU rRNA". It matches the Rfam family "Bacterial small subunit ribosomal RNA", at positions 823 to 1482 of the family's 1533-position model. The record is from RNAcentral.